GGAGACCAUAUGAUGUUUACACACAAGAAUACUUUUGAAGACAAGAGGUGGGGGAGAAAAAGAAUAAGAGGGUUUGAUGCUCACAAGGUUGGUAACGAACAUGGCACCAGAAGCUCUGCAGAGUUCUCUCCAGAAAGGACCAUCUCACAGGAAGGGGACAAAUCAACCAGAGCUGCCAAUGUAUGGGGCAGCAAUGGAGGAACCAAUAGGAAGAGGGGCUGGACAGAUGGACCUGAGGAGCAGUAGGAGCCACCAUCCCGGCUCCCUGGAAAACUUUCUGGGAGGACAAGCCUUGAUCAGACAUCGCCCAGCUUAGUGGGCCCCACCUGUCUCCUCAUCCCUGCCCAAGCCCUGCCUGCAUGCUGGGCACCCAUGCACUCAGCUCUCAGGCAUCCGGAGUGACGCGGAGCAGCGUGGAGUCCUGCUCAUUCUCUGGCACGCAGCGCAGCCAGAAAUAUUUUCAGAUUUCUGAGUCUGUUUUAACUCUGAGGAGCCAGGCUGGUGGCUGAGGACAGAGAUGGCGGGAGACUGCACAGCCUUGGGGACAAUGACCAAAAAAGCAGCAGAGAUGUGGCUUCUCUCUUGGCAUGUAGGCCCACAGCAGCGUUGCUGCCAUAAAGACCCCGCUAGGGGGACUUCACGGCUUCUCAGGCUCUCCACCAACAGCGGGGGCAGCAGCGGCAAACGUCAGUGGUCUGGCAGAGUUCUGGGCUCUAGACAGAGUGGCAUUCAGAGACGUUCACGUCAUCCUUGUGGGUGCUUCGAAAGCCAUGGCAUUGCAGCCUCUGGCUCUUCCUGGAGAUUAUCAAAGGAUAUGCUGCAAAGGGGAGCAUCUCGCCUUGAGUCUUCUCCAUCAGGCAGGACCUACAUUGAGUAAAGGAACAUGAAACGCAUCAGCUGAGACCCGGCUUCAUCAUUUCAAGCUUGUGUGUGGUGAGACAAGCGUAGUUCUUGAGGUAGCCAGAAUUAGGUUUGGAUCCUGGUGCUGCUCUUCGAUAGUAUACUUCCCUUGGACUAACCCUGAAACUGAGGCUCAGUCCCUCACCUCACCCUGUGAAAUGGGUUGGAAUCCCUAGCUCAAAAGGUGUAAACCAUGACUGAGUUCACAAACAUUAAGUGACUGGCUGAGUACACUGCACUGUGUGUUCUCCCCUCCCUUCCUUGCAGCCAAGCGAAUGAUUUUGCUGGGCUCCAGGACUCCCUCUGUUCCUAGCAAGCACAUGGUCAGCGGCCUACCUUCAUUUAUCACUUCGCUGUCCUCUUUAUCUGUCUACUGGGUUCCUCUCCUCCACUUACCACUCUGCUCAAUUUUCUGUAUCUCUUCCUCUAAAAAUACCUCAAACCAGAUAUGCCACCAGGCAACAGCUCUGCCUCCCUAAUUUCAACACCAAAUACUUGGAAGUCUCUUCGGCACCCACUCUUUGUGCCUCCCACUAGUCACUCCUUAAGUAGCACUAAUCUGACCUCCCCCCAUCUACUGAUAUAGGCUCAUUGCCAAGACUUGUCAUCUUGCUGUAGGUUUCAAUUUCUUGAAGGCAUUUGAAGGUCAUUUCCCCCAGUCUUAAUGUGAUCCCUAAGGUUCGGUGUCCUCUUUCCUCCCUUCAUAGUAUCACUCCCAUAUUAUCACUGGGAACUUCUGUUUAGGCUCUCCAUGCUGCCUUCUUCCCCGCACUUCCCAAAUACAGGCUAUGGGUGGGCCAGAAGUGGGCCGAUGUUUUGCCUAAAGAGCCAGGUAGUAAAUAUAAUAAUCUUUACAGGGCUACAUGACCUCUGUUGCAAUUACUCAGUGCUGCCAUGAAAGCAUAAAGAAGCCAUGGUCAAUACAUAAGUCAAUGAAUUGGCUGAGAGCCAGUAAAACUUUGCUUACAAAAGAGGAGGUGGGUCCAGUUUGGCUAUGGGCCAUAUUAGCCAGUGGUGUCUAGUGGAAAGAGGAUAAACAAGAGACAGAUAUACCAGGUUUCCUCUGACAGGUUGGUGAAAUACUUCACCUCCCUGCUCCUUAUUAUCCUUAUCUGUGAAAGGAUAAUAAAAUGAUGAUGGUGACGUGGUGAUAAUACUUUCCUCAAGGUGUUGUUAACAGGGGAAUCGAGAUAAUGUGAAGUAUCCUCCGGCUUAGUCCAGUGAAUUUUAGUUUUCCGUUUUCUCCUCUCUCCUCCCUCUUUUGGUUCGUCUCUCUGCUCUCACAAUACCUGUACCCUCCCCUGCCUUCUAUAAUUGCAUUCACAAUCAUGUCUGCAAUCCCACCUCCGCCUCCACGUCUGACCUCUCUUCUGAGUUAAAAAUCUGUACAUUCAAAUUUGGGCAUGGUGGUGCACACCUGUAAACCCACAGCACUCUGGGAAGCUGAGGCGGGGAGAUUGAAAGUGUGAGCCAGCCUGGGCAACCUAGUAACUUUGCAAGACCCUGUUUCAAACUAAAAUUUAAAGGGUUGCAGGGGUUCUGGGGAUGUAGCUCAGUGCAUAGGCUGUGGGUUCAAGUCCAAUAUCACAAAACAAAAACAAAAAAUGUACACAUUUGAGGAAAAUCAGUAUUUCCACUGCACUUGUGUCUAAAACUCUCCAUGUUGAAGAGGAAGUGCCUCAUUUAACCUAACAUGCCUUCUCCUGGCCUCCUGCCGUGGAAGUCUUUGGCAUUGCUUUGCUCCUGGAAGAGACUGCGACAGGCCUCUCCUUCAGCUGUCUCUGCCCCUUUCCCCUCCAUCCACGGCCAUCAUUUCCAUGAAAGUCUUAUUACUCACACCUGGUGUUUUUGAACACUGUCUGUAUCUCUGCCAUUCUCCUCAUUAACCCAUGGUGCUCAGGAUGCCAAGUUACUCGUUCUCGGGCAGAGUGGAGUCACGACAUUCUCCAGUCUGUGAUGUCACUGAAGGCUCCUCCAUCCUCUCCUGGCGUUCAAAAUCCUAUAUGGUCAGCACUGAAAACCCUGAACCCCAAGCCCAAUGUGUUUGCCCAGGAUUUUCUGGACUCAUUAAUUCUUCCAUCUCUGCAGCCUUUCCUUUGCCUGGACAACCCUGCCCAGUCUAUCUCUGGCUGUCGCAUUCUUAUCUAUCUCCUUACUAUCGUUAUCUGUGCGUAGGCUCUGGGUAGGCUCUGGGUAGCAGCCAGGCCAGAUAUUUAAAAAUGCUGUGGCCAGACACAUGGCCCCUUGACUCCCCUUGAGGCUCUGUGCCCCAUCCUAGCUUUCAGAGCCUGCUUAUGAUUGUGCUUAUCUCCCAGAAUGCAUUUUCCUGUGUACUUUUGUGAAGCAUUGUGUGCUUGUGUUCUCUCUCCCUUUUGAUUAAAAAUUCCCAGAGAGAUUUGACAAAUGUAUCACUGUGUACCUGGUCCCAGUGCUGCGUCUGGCUGGCCACAAGUUUAUGUAGCAGGUGCAGGGGCUUUUAGCCUGCUCACCUCUGGGCAGACUUGGUAGCUCCCCUGCCUCCUCCAUGGGCAGAGUCUGUCUGUUGGGAAAAGCCAACGCAGAGGAAUAAGUUUCACUAUUCAGGGCUCUGGCUGUGAGUGAGCCUUUCAUGCUUUUGAUUUUGGGUUCUGGGUAAGCCUGUGUUUCUGGGUGGGUGUGCAGCAGUUGUGAGUGUAUGUACAUGGGGUGCUGUGGGUGUGAUUUGGUUUAUGCAAAUGUGGGGGGUGCUGUGCUGGUGUGUAUAUGAACAUAUAUGUGCAGUAUAUGCAUAUAGGGUGCUCAUGCAUUAAUUAGGUGAAGGAGCAGGUGUGUGUGUGUGUGUAUUGUUGGAUGUGUUGGAUGCAUGGGAGAGCAAUACGGAAAGUGGGCAUGUGUGUAGGGUGUAUGUGAGUGUUUGUGGGGUGUAUAACCUCAGACAUUCUGUUGUAAAAGAACAGAAAAGAGUCCUCACCUGGCUUUCCCUGGGGACUUGUGCUUAUCUAUGGGAGAAGCCUACGAAGUAGAACAUGGAGCAAAUGGUUUUGGAAAUACAGCUACUGAGUGAUAAAAUCAAGGGGCAAAUGUCGUACUUGGUGCCUAAUCAGGGUAUAGCAAAGAGCCACUAUUAAGCCUCUGGUAGCCUUUGAGGUUCAGUGGCCAGGCUGCUGUCCCCUCCAGAGAAAUUACAAGGGAGAGACCCUGCUCUCUCCACACCAGGCCAGGAACACGAGCUCCUUAUGUGAGGACAGAGCGGAGCAAGUGCUAUGAACCUCACCUUACUGAGUCCUUGAAGGUCACACAAGGAAUGGUGGCAUCAACUCUGAACUGAGAAGUCCACAUUCUCUCCUUCUCCUCUCUGUCUGACAAGGGAAGAACUGGCACAGCCAGUUACAAUCUGCCCAUAAAUCAUAAAUAUGAUUCGUGAUUACACCCUGGCCAAAGGUCAUGGGGCUUAAGGGAACUGACACUAGCUGUUCGUGAGAAGUGGUUUUCAGUAUCACAGGCUUGUGUUCACACAAAGUCUUAUACACGAGCUCAGUACAUAGAACUAGCUAGAGUGUAGCUAUUCUGGUAAGCUGAGGGGUGUGGUGGGGAAGGGGAGGCUGCUGGAGUCCUGGCCCUCACUGUGCCCUGACCCCAUUCUCCUGGCCCCGCCAGUUUGAAACUUCCCUUCCAUAAAGACCAAAAGUCUCAUUGUAAAGGGAGGUAGAAUGAAUUGUCCAAGGUCACAAGUGCAGCCCCAUAAAUGAGCAGCCUCCUGAAUGGCUGGUCUCAGCCACACUGACCUGUCCCUCUGGGCCAGCCCUAAAACCCUGCAGGGGAUGGAGGGGCAGAGGGAAUCUGGCUGGACAGGUGAGCUGGCUUUGAGGGCUUCCCCAACAUGGAGAUCAGGGAGGGAAGGAGUGAAGGUGCUAUUUGCAGGACUGUGAUCAGUGAAAACUGCAAUAGAUCUUUCAGCUUCUAGUGUGCUGAGCUGAAGCAGAAACCUGGCCUUCUGGGGAAGCACAUACUUUCCCUCCUAUGAAAAAUCUUAAUACCACAUACACUGUCUUAAGAAUUGAUAAUAAUGGCUCAAGGUCUCCCCUUGGAGAGAUCUCCCCUUCUGCCCUAAGCCAGAUUUCUGCCUGGUGCCCCAGGUUUAACUAUGUGCCCUUUGCUUUACUGAGCCACUCACUGUGUUGAUAAUAAUAUCGACA
Molecule: long non-coding RNA, 5075 nt
Organism: Chinchilla lanigera (long-tailed chinchilla)
Lineage: Eukaryota; Metazoa; Chordata; Mammalia; Rodentia; Chinchillidae
Source: Ensembl